GCUGGGCAUGGUGGUGCAUGCCUGUAAUCCCAGCAGCUCCUUAGGCUGAGGCAGGAGGAUUGCAUGAACAAAACUAGCCUCAGCAAAAGCAAGGUGCUAAGCAACUCAGUGAGACCCUGUCUCCA
Molecule: small RNA, 125 nt
Filed under: Marmota monax (woodchuck)
Lineage: Eukaryota; Metazoa; Chordata; Mammalia; Rodentia; Sciuridae
Source: RNAcentral